This 75-nucleotide transfer RNA is filed under the name Eragrostis curvula (weeping love grass). RNAcentral's name for it is "tRNA tRNA-Phe". It matches the Rfam family "tRNA". Rfam says of the family: Transfer RNA (tRNA) molecules are approximately 80 nucleotides in length. Their secondary structure includes four short double-helical elements and three loops (D, anti-codon, and T loops). Lineage: Eukaryota; Viridiplantae; Streptophyta; Magnoliopsida; Poales; Poaceae. The record is from Rfam by way of RNAcentral.
GGGGAUGUAGCUCAAUUGGUAGAGCACUAAUGAAAAGCUUCUUAGGUGUUCGGGGUUCAACUCCUCGCAUCUCCA